RNAcentral lists this ribosomal RNA (506 nucleotides) under uncultured bacterium. RNAcentral's name for it is "partial 16S ribosomal RNA". It matches the Rfam family "Bacterial small subunit ribosomal RNA", at positions 30 to 523 of the family's 1533-position model. The record is from RNAcentral.
AUUGAACGCUGGCGGCAGGUCUAACACAUGCAAGUCGAGCGGUCUCUUCCCUUCUUUGUUUACUUUGUCUUCUCUCUUUGGACGGGUGAGUAAUGUCUGGGAAACUGCCUGAUGGUGUUUUUUGACUACUAGAAACGGUAGCUAAUUUUUUAUGAUGUCGCAAGACCAAAGAGGGGGACUUUGGUGCCUCUUGCCAUCAGAUGUGCCCAGAUGGGAUUAGCUAGUAGGUGGGGUAAUGGCUCACCUAGGCGACGAUCCCUAGCUGGGCUGAGAGGAUGACCAGCCACACUGGAACUGAGACACGGUCCAGACUCCUACGGGAGGCAGCAGUGGGGAAUAUUGCACAAUGGGCGCAAGCCUGAUGCAGCCAUGCCGCGUGUAUGAAGAAGGCCUUCGGGUUGUAAAGUACUUUCAGCGGGGAGGAAGGUGUUGAGGUUAAUAACCUCAGCAAUUGACGUUACCCGCAGAAGAAGCACCGGCUAACUCCGUGCCAGCCGCCGCAGUAA